AAGUGUGCUUGGGCGAGAGUAGUACUCGGAUGGGUGACCUCCUGGGAAGUCCUCGUGUUGCACCUC
Molecule: ribosomal RNA, 66 nt
Filed under: Vigna angularis (adzuki bean)
Lineage: Eukaryota; Viridiplantae; Streptophyta; Magnoliopsida; Fabales; Fabaceae
Source: RNAcentral